CACGUAGGGCGCAAGCGUUGUCCGGAAUUAUUGGGCGUAAAGAGCGCGCAGGCGGCUUGGUAAGUCGGAUGUGAAAUCCCGAGGCUCAACCUCGGGUCUGCAUCCGAUACUGCCCGGCUAGAGGUAGGUAGGGGAGAUCGGAAUUCCUGGUGUAGCGGUGAAAUGCGCAGAUAUCAGGAGGAACACCUGUGGCGAAAGCGGCUCUCUGGACCACAACUGACGCUGAGGCGCGAAAGCUAGGGGAGCAAACAGG
Molecule: ribosomal RNA, 253 nt
Filed under: uncultured bacterium
Lineage: Bacteria
Description: partial 16S ribosomal RNA
Rfam family: Bacterial small subunit ribosomal RNA
Source: RNAcentral